AUAAAUACUGAAAGGAAGAAACCUCUCUCCUCUCAGCAGAUAGGGCCUGCAAGACUGAAAAAUGAAGGUGACUGUGAGAGCUGUGAUGAACCUGUUUGGACAACAGACAGCACAAAUACCUGUCUCAGUGGAGGAGUUUAAGAGCACUGCAGAGAUCCUCAGACAGUGCAGAGUCUCUUGGCUUACACAGGCCACUGUCUUUCUCUCUAAACAAUACCAGCCAAGUUUCCUCUGUACAACUGAAGAGCUGCAGGAACAGAAGGACAGUAACUAAUACAGCUUUUAAAUUUCAAUCUUCUGGACUUAUUAGGAAAAAAAUAAUAAUUAAAAAAAAGAAAGAAAGAAAGAAAGAAGAGAAAUAAGGAAAAGGAAAAGAAAAAUACAUGAAUUCUAAGGAAAAUGAGGGACUUGAUUCCAAGGAAGAAAACUAUACACGGCAGCUUGAAGCUACAGGGGCAGUCCUGCCUGUUUUUCCUCCAACCAGCUACUUUACUUCAGGCCCUUUGAAACCAGCAAUUCCCGUGGAUCAGCACUUAAAGCGGAUUUGCUGACAGAGCCGCGAAGUUGCCAGAGAUCCUCCCUGUGGCCAGCCUACGCCGAUGUCCCUGGGGAGCCCCGCACUGAGAGCCGCAGACCUCCGGGUGUGACGCAGUGGAUGAUUGAUUGUACCCGCCAGCUGGCUAAUAUCAUAAUUAACAAAGUUGCUACCAUGUCUGAGAAGUUUAAUCGAAAAAAUUGCCGGCAGUAUGAUGCCAUUGUCACAGAGAUCACAAGCACUGCAGUGUUGACUUUUGUACUGGUGGAGCCGCAGGACUAUGUAGAUGUGCAGAGAAGUCGUUCGCUGGGAUAACUAAAGUGAGCUGUGCUUGCAGACGGCGUGACUGGGCUCUGCUGGAGCUGGCCAGUGGCAUCCUGCCUCCACUCUGCUCAUCACCGCUACAGCAGCCAUACUGCGGGAACGCCAAACCUGGGAGCAGCUGCCUGAAACAACUCCUCGCAUGCAGGGAUGUCAGCAGAAGCACAUGGAAGCACAUCAGCAAGGUUUAGCUGAUGGAUCACGUUGUAAAAUCUGCAGCCAUGAAAGGCCCUCCAUUUAUUGCACCCUUCAAAACGAAAUAUUAGCAUGGGAGGCUAAGCUGGGUGUUAUGGAGUAGUGACUUCAAGUUCUGGUUCACAAGUAAAUCCAUGUCAGUACAAGGAGAGCUGUCGAUGAGAAAUGGAGGCUAAUAACGAAGGAGUCAGUGAAGGAGACCAAUGCCACAAGGGUUAUCUCGCAGCCCCAGAUGCUGGAUAAGUUGGAGGAGGCAGAAUCGCUUUUGGAUGACAUUCAGGAAGGCCUUGAAUGAUUAUUUGGUGAAGAAAAGACUGUUCUUUUCAAGGUUUCUCUCUCAAUGCAGCAAUGAUCUCUCAGGAAUCCUUUCUGAGACAAAGGAUCCACUCCAUGUCCAACCACACCUAAAGAAAUGCUUUGAAGGAAUUGCCAAGCUCACUUUUAAUCAUGAGAAAGAAAUUACCCACAUGGAGUCAGCAGAAAAUGAAAAAGUAGAGCUCGUGCUGCGAAUAAUUCCAGCAAGUGCCAAGGGGCUAGUUGAGCAAUGGCUUCAUGAGGUGAAUAUCUUUAGCUCUUACUUAGGGUUUAGUUACUGUAUAAUCAUUUUCUCUUUUAGGAGCAAUGAAUAUCAUAAGCAUAUUUCCUAACUAAACAGCUCUCUGAAUAUUUGUCAAGAUGUUGACAGAUUUCAGCCUUAUUGUUGUUAUUUAUUGCAGCUAAUUUAGCAACUGCAAAUGUGCAAAAAUUAAUUUUAAUGAAAAGCUCUCAGAGUCAGGCUGUCAGCAGAAGUGGGUCUGUGUCUGAAACCAUGUAUGUGAAUAUAUGUCCGAGUCUACAUGUAUGUGUUUUUGUGCUUUCAUGGUGUAAUGUCUGUAGCUGAUGAGGAAAACAUUUUUUAAACAAUCGCAGAAAUGUAAGAUUUCAAAUGCUUCCACCCUGUAGAAAUGUAUCCCAUUGUGUUGGAGGGGUUUAAUUUCCAAUACAUUUUAACAAAAGGGAAGAGAAAAUACGUCACUGAUAACAUCCUAACCUUUCCCUUCAGGCCGCUAAUCCAAAUUCAUUGGUUUCAGCAAGAAAUUAGUUUCGUGACCUUUUUUUGUUGUUGUUGUUCACUUUAUUUAACCUUCCUCUGCCAGAGGAUAGGAACUGGCCCUUUUCUUGUUUUUCUUUUCUGGGCCAAAAAAAAAAAACCUUCCCCUUCCUCUUUGUCUCCCUUUCUUGUGGGGCAGGAUCAGCCCUGGGUACACAGGGGCUGCCAGCCAGCAGGACGGAGCAGCUGCGGGAGUGCUAUUUCCAUUCCCAGAUAAUUCGGCUGACACCCUGCGUGCAGAGGGGCAGCAAAGUCCCGUGCGGGUAGUGGGUUGGAGGGGUUUGGCCCCAUUAUGUGUCACAUUUUUGCUGACUGGGUGAGCAAAGCUGAGCCCUCAAGCCCUCUCGUGUGUCCCUGUUGCCCACUGUGUUGAGCCACAACAACAUGCUAGGUUGGGCCAAGCCCCUUUUUACAGCAACUACAUCACAUUUGAGGUGGUCCCACAACAGCAUUCUUUGGGGUAAGGCAGGGAGGAAAACACGUCAGGAUUUAGACAAACACAAAUGCUCCCCACCCUGUUCUCUGUGUCAAAUGACUAGCUUGAUUUUUUUUGGACUAGUUUUCAGCACAAAUUUUUUUUCCGUGGGGGUGGGGAAGCUACAUUGCAUAAGUGGCAGUUCUGAGGAGCUCAGGAAAAGCCUAAAUUCUAUUACACUAAGCCUGCAAUAUGCUUUUUAGUUUUUACCUUCUCCCACAAAUGAAAGAUGUUUGGAGAGUUGAGCAGCUGUGUUUAUUUUAACACAUCUCAUUUAACCUUCACCUAAAAACAAAUUGGAAGGUUUGGGAGUGCAUUAAUCUGGACCCAAUUAGUGUCUCUUUCUCUCUCAAAAGUGCAACCUGAGAUUAAUGAAUAUAAACUAGAGUUUCAUAUGCAGUCUUUAAAUCAUUUGCAUGUUUUAUGCAUGAUAAUUGAAUUUAUUUAUGCACUUCCUUUCAUUUAGUGAUUUCUUGCUCUUUUCUAUGCUAUCAACAUUAUAUUAUGCAAGAAACAGGAUUAUGGUAGGCAAGAAAGGAUAGCAGUAUAUAAAUCAAACCUGAUUUAAUUUUUAGUUCUAGCGUCAACAGUACAUCAGAAUUAAUAUUGGUAUCAUGCCAGUGAAGUACAUGGCCAGGAAAAUGUAAAAUAUUUUUGGUAAAGUAGAGGCUUUUAGAUUAAGAAGACAUUUCUGAUGCAGUUUAGUUUGCUUGCAAGUGUAUAAGCAAAAUUAUUUUCAAAUGGCAGUUAAAUUAUUGUAUUGACUUUUCAAUGACCGUAGAGACUUGUGUUUCAACUUGGCCAAUUAGUAGUAAUAAGAAGAUGAAUGGUAAUUACAUUAAUAAAUAACUGUUUUCAGACCAGGACUCAGUAUCAUAGUCUGGCUAAGAAAAUAAGGGCAUUUUAUAAUUUGUCUCAUUUGGUCUUUGAUCAGGAGAAAAAGGACUUUGGAACUAUAGUAAAUCUUUCAUAGCCCAGAAUGUAGCAGUCCUAGGGACUAGUGAGCCAUAUUAGCUAGCAGCUCUGUGGUAGUAGCUGUUUCAGUGCCAUAGGUAGGGAAUUUUGCUUUGUUUCUUCACUUAAGCCCAGAUGUCUUAAAGAUUGCUUAGUGAUGGUCUCUGCAUUUGUUAUAAUGCAUGCCAGGAAGCUACUAUGGCAAAGAGUUUUAAUAAGAUGCUGGUAGUGGUGCUUUCAAAGCUUUAACCUAUACCAGUUUCUUUUUUGUCUCUCGUCUUUCCUUAUGUGUUGAAAGAUGUAUGUGGAAGUGAUAUUUUUCUGUGGUGUCCUGUCUUUUAUCAGUGGAUUAAAUGGCUGUGUGUUGUGAUUGUUUCCUGAUUCUCGUAGGUAGGAAUGUGUUUAAAGGCUAAAGCUCUGUUAAUUUGUGAUGUAACCAUUUCAGUGUGUUUCUUGUCAUUGAAAUGUAGUUUAAAAUGUUCAGUAAUGUGGCAUGAAAUUAUUGGUUAGUUUUGGAAUGGUGGUGAAAUCAUGUGAAGAAAAUAAGUAUUGCAUCUGAUCAAGAUAAAUUCACUCUAGUGUUU
This is a long non-coding RNA of Cygnus olor (mute swan), 4154 nucleotides long. RefSeq lists it as uncharacterized. Lineage: Eukaryota; Metazoa; Chordata; Aves; Anseriformes; Anatidae. The transcript has 9 exons. The record is from RefSeq and is a predicted model, not a curated record.